RNAcentral lists this transfer RNA (74 nucleotides) under Eubacterium sp. CAG:603. RNAcentral's name for it is "transfer RNA-Cys(GCA)". It matches the Rfam family "tRNA". From Rfam's summary of the family: Transfer RNA (tRNA) molecules are approximately 80 nucleotides in length. Their secondary structure includes four short double-helical elements and three loops (D, anti-codon, and T loops). RNAcentral also lists the same sequence under 1 other name. Lineage: Bacteria; Bacillati; Bacillota; Clostridia; Eubacteriales; Eubacteriaceae. The record is from RNAcentral.
GGCGACAUAGCCAAGUGGUAAGGCUCCGGUCUGCAACACCGUCAUCACCAGUUCGAAUCUGGUUGUCGCCUCUA